UAGAGGUCCCGCCUGCCCUGUGACCACAGUGUUUAACGGCCGCGGUAUCCUGACCGUGCGAAGGUAGCGUAAUCACUUGUCUUUUAAAUGAAGACCUGUAUGAAUGGCAUAACGAGGGUUUAACUGUCUCCUUCCCCAAGUCAAUGAAAUUGAUCUGCCCGUGCAGAAGCGGACAUAAUAACAUAAGACGAGAAGACCCUAUGGAGCUUUAGGCAAAAGACCAUGCAUGUAAAGAAAGCACAACAAGCAAAAGAAAUUAAAAGCAAUCAAAACUAAAGUACCAAUGGUCCAAGUGCCUUCGGUUGGGGCGACCAUGGAGGAAAACAAAGCCUCCAAGUGGAAAGGAGCAUAUCCUAAACCAAGAAGUACACUUCUAAGUAACAGAACAUCUGACCAACAAUGACCCAGACAACCAAGUCUGAUCAACGAACCAAGUUACCCUAGGGAUAACAGCGCAAUCCUUUCCCAGAGUCCAUAUCGACGAAAGGGUUUACGACCUCGAUGUUGGAUCAGGACAUCCUAAUGGUGCAGAAGCUAUUAAGGGUUCGUUUGUUCAACGAUUAAUAGUCCUAC
This 573-nucleotide ribosomal RNA is filed under the name Robinsia sp. KY17-572. Its description in RNAcentral is "partial 16S ribosomal RNA". It matches the Rfam family "Bacterial large subunit ribosomal RNA", at positions 1844 to 2599 of the family's 2925-position model. The record is from RNAcentral. Lineage: Eukaryota; Metazoa; Chordata; Actinopteri; Anguilliformes; Chlopsidae.